RNAcentral lists this ribosomal RNA (382 nucleotides) under uncultured eukaryote. RNAcentral describes it as "partial 18S ribosomal RNA". It matches the Rfam family "Eukaryotic small subunit ribosomal RNA", at positions 592 to 976 of the family's 1831-position model. The record is from RNAcentral.
UGUAAGCGUAUACCAAAGUCGUUGCAGUUAAAACGCUCGUAGUCGGAAUUUGGCAGUUCCGGAUGUGUGCACGUCGUGUGCGCACUUCGCGGGGAUUGCUUUUGUGGUCUUGCGUAGGAUGAGGCACUUUUAUUAGUGAACGUCCUCACGCAACCACUUUUUACUGUGAGAAAAUCAGAGUGCUCAAAGCAGGCAUUUGCCGUGAAUGUAUUAGCAUGGAAUAAUAGAAUAGGACUUGGUUCUAUUUUGUUGGUUUGUUGGGACUGAGUAAUGAUUAAGAGGGACAGUUGGGGGCAUUUGUAUUUCGGUGCUAGAGGUGAAAUACUUAGAUUACCGAAAGACAAACUGCUGCGAAAGCGUCUGCCAAGGAUGUUUUCAUUGA